Molecule: non-coding RNA, 1139 nt
Organism: Taeniopygia guttata (zebra finch)
Lineage: Eukaryota; Metazoa; Chordata; Aves; Passeriformes; Estrildidae
Source: RefSeq, a predicted model, not a curated record
CCUGCAGUCCAGCAGCACUCCAAUGUCUUGAUCUGCAACUUAUCUCCAAGGAAAUCCCAUGGGACACAUCUCAUGACAUGUGGUCAGUGGCUUGGGGAUGGUCACCCAUCAUCAAAGAAAGAAAAUUGUUUAAUUAUUGAAUGUUGGAUACAUCACCCAGCAUCAGCCUUUACAAAGUCUGUGAUUUAUGACAGUUGUACAGUAAAACAGCCUUUCAUGGCAGGACACUUCAGUCAUUCCCAUAAGCUCAGAUCCUUCCAAGCAACUUGGAGGAAGCAAGGCUCCCAAAAAGGUCCCUGCUCAUCUCUUCAAGCAGACACUGCAGAGAGAAAGCAGCAGCUCAUCAAGCCAUAAUGUCAAGAAAGGAAAUGAACUGAACUAAUUCUCUUUUCCUUUUGCUAGCCGCAGCAUUUAAUUUUUGACUUUUAGAGCCGAAACAUAGCAACAUGGCACAGAACAGAAGGCUUCCUAAAUCUUAGGGAAUAUCUAUUCUUGUAUUUAAAGCCUAAAGGAAAUAGAAUGCCUAUUCUGAAUAUCUUCAAAGUAAAUCAAUAACUAAGCACGAUUCCUAUCCUAGUGUUGUUGGAAUGAGAAGCUAGAUUCACAAAAUGUUACACUAUGGAAAUUUAGGGUAAGAGUGCAUUAAAUCUGAGUCUUGCCCAGUACACUGUCACUUUUCUGUCAGAUUCCCAUCCCAACAUCUCUUUUAUAAUGUUAAUUUCAAAUAUAGCUCCCCUGUAUCUUUUGGCUAGGAAAUGAAUAUAUGCAAGACCCCAGACCUCAUGAUUCCAGCAGCAAGAGGGAGCAGCACAUUUGAGAACAUAUUUAUCAUUUCAAGGAAGCCAUUCCAGGUUGCUUUUUCAGAGAGUGAUUGAAAGCAGUUUAGGAAAUGAAGAACACUAAAAUAAGAGGAAGAUGGAGACACAGAAACUGGUAUGGUCUCAAAUUUGUUCAAGAAGAUCAGGAUACUUGUGUAUAUUACAGUAAUUUCCACCAAAGUGUAAUUUCAAAUCAAAAUUAUUGGUUUUGUUCAAGUAAUGCAGCAAAAAGUUAUCAAGUGGCACAUUUCAGGGUUAAUAAAGCACUGGCUGUUGCUCAUGCCCACUGUUGGAUAUAAGAAUACAGAAAUAACUCAUCAA